UGCAGCAGAGCUCCGACCUUCGGGGACGAGCGCUUUUAUUAGACCAAAACCAAUCGGACCUCGUGUCCGUCCUUUGUGGUGACUCUGUAUAACUUUGGGCUGAUCGCACGGGCCUGUCCCGGCGACGUAUCUUUCAAGUGUCUGCCUUAUCAACUUUCGAUGGUAGGUUACGCGCCUACCAUGGUCGUAACGGGUAACGGGGAAUCAGGGUUCGAUUCCGGAGAGGGAGCCUGAGAAACGGCUACCACAUCCAAGGAAGGCAGCAGGCGCGCAAAUUACCCACUCCCAGAACGGGGAGGUAGUGACGAAAAAUAACAAUACGGGACUCUUUUGAGACCCCGUAAUUGGAAUGAGUACACUCUAAAUCCUUUAACGAGGAUCCAUUGGAGGGUAAGUCUGGUGCCAGCAACCGCGGUAAUUCCAGCUCCAAUAGCGUAUAUUAAAGUUGUUGCGGUUAAAAAGCUCGUAGUUGGAUCUCAGUUCCAGACGGGUGGUCCGCCUACCGGUGGUUACUGCCUGUUCUGAACAGUCAGCCGGUUUCUCUUGAUGAUCUUCACCGGUUGUCUUGGGUGACCGGCAAGUUUACUUUGAAAAAAUUAGAGUGCUCAAAGCAGGCGUGACGCCUGAAUAAUGGUGCAUGGAAUAAUGGAAUAGGACCUCGGUUCUAUUUUGUUGGUUUUCGGAACACGAGGUAAUGAUUAAGAGGGACAGACGGGGGCAUUCGUAUUGCGACGCUAGAGGUGAAAUUCUUGGACCGUCGCAAGACGAACUACUGCGAAAGCAUUU
RNAcentral lists this ribosomal RNA (786 nucleotides) under Pireneitega luctuosa. Its description in RNAcentral is "SSU rRNA". It matches the Rfam family "Eukaryotic small subunit ribosomal RNA", at positions 172 to 956 of the family's 1831-position model. Lineage: Eukaryota; Metazoa; Arthropoda; Arachnida; Araneae; Agelenidae. RNAcentral also lists the same sequence under 3 other names. The record is from RNAcentral.